RNAcentral lists this ribosomal RNA (600 nucleotides) under uncultured fungus. RNAcentral describes it as "eukaryotic LSU rRNA". It matches the Rfam family "Eukaryotic large subunit ribosomal RNA", at positions 23 to 641 of the family's 3401-position model. Lineage: Eukaryota; Fungi. The record is from RNAcentral.
ACCCGCUGAACUUAAGCAUAUCAAUAAGCGGAGGAAAAGAAACCAACCGGGAUUGCCCUAGUAACGGCGAGUGAAGCGGCAACAGCUCAAAUUUGAAAUCGGGCAUUUAUGCUUGAGUUGUAAUUUGCAGAGGGAGCUUUGGUUCUGGCAGCGGUCUAAGUUCCUUGGAACAGGACGUCACAGAGGGUGAGAAUCCCGUAUGUGGUCGCUGGCCUUUACCGUGUAAAGCCCCUUCGAUGAGUCGAGUUGUUUGGGAAUGCAGCUCUAAAUGGGAGGUAAAUUUCUUCUAAAGCUAAAUACUGGCCAGAGACCGAUAGCGCACAAGUAGAGUGAUCGAAAGAUGAAAAGUACUUUGGAAAGAGAGUCAAACAGCACGUGAAAUUGUUGAAAGGGAAGCGCUUGCAGCCAGACUUGCCCGUAGUUGCUUAUCCAGGCUUUUGCCCGGUGCACUCUUCUGCGGGCAGGCCAGCAUCAGUUUGGGCGGUUGGAUAAAGGUCUCUGUCACGUACCUCCUUUCGGGGAGGCCUUAUAGGGGAGGCGACAUGCAACCAGCCCGGACUGAGGUCCGCGCAUUUGCUAGGAUGCUGGCGUAAUGGUGGU